RNAcentral lists this ribosomal RNA (536 nucleotides) under uncultured bacterium. RNAcentral describes it as "bacterial SSU rRNA". It matches the Rfam family "Bacterial small subunit ribosomal RNA", at positions 777 to 1318 of the family's 1533-position model. The record is from RNAcentral.
AAUAGAUACCCGGGUAGUCCACGCCCUAAACGAUGUCAACUAGUUGUUGGGGAUUCAUUUCCUUAGUAACGUAGCUAACGCGUGAAGUUGACCGCCUGGGGAGUACGGUCGCAAGAUUAAAACUCAAAGGAAUUGACGGGGACCCGCACAAGCGGUGGAUGAUGUGGAUUAAUUCGAUGCAACGCGAAAAACCUUACCUACCCUUGACAUGGUCGGAACCCUGCUGAAAGGUGGGGUGCUCGAAAGAGAACCGGCGCACAGGUGCUGCAUGGCUGUCGUCAGCUCGUGUCGUGAGAUGUUGGGUUAAGUCCCGCAACGAGCGCAACCCUUGUCCUUAGUUGCUACGCAAGAGCACUCUAAGGAGACUGCCGGUGACAAACCGGAGGAAGGUGGGGAUGACGUCAAGUCCUCAUGGCCCUUAUGGGUAGGGCUUCACACGUCAUACAAUGGUCGGAACAGAGGGUUGCCAAGCCGCGAGGUGGAGCCAAUCCCAGAAAACCCGAUCGUAGUCCGGAUCGCAGUCUGCAACUCGACUG